Molecule: non-coding RNA, 218 nt
Filed under: Bacillus sp. (in: firmicutes)
Lineage: Bacteria; Bacillati; Bacillota; Bacilli; Caryophanales; Bacillaceae
Description: Bacillus sp. T-box sequence
Rfam family: T-box leader
About the family: Uncharged tRNA acts as the effector for transcription antitermination of genes in the T-box leader family. T-boxes are found upstream of many aminoacyl-tRNA synthetase genes and some amino acid biosynthetic genes usually in Gram-positive bacteria.
Source: RNAcentral
AUAUAAGCAAUGAGGAAGAGUAGUACUAAAUAGCUUAGUUUUUAGAGAGUUUGUGGUUGGUGUGAACAAACAGCUAACGUUUAGGAAUGGACUUCUGAGCUUCAUGACUGAAUUCAUUAGUAGGUUAUGACGUAUCCUUACGUUACAAGGCAAGUGAUUUCUGCAACAUUUUGUUGAUGAAAUAAUAAGGGUGGUACCACGGUCCAUUCGUCCCUUCU